RNAcentral lists this transfer RNA (73 nucleotides) under Microbacterium sp. Its description in RNAcentral is "tRNA-Trp". It matches the Rfam family "tRNA". From Rfam's summary of the family: Transfer RNA (tRNA) molecules are approximately 80 nucleotides in length. Lineage: Bacteria; Bacillati; Actinomycetota; Actinomycetes; Micrococcales; Microbacteriaceae. The record is from RNAcentral.
AGGGACGUCGCCAAGCGGCCGAAGGCACCGGACUCCAAACCCGGCAUCGCAGGUUCGAAUCCUGCCGUCUCUG